AUUGAACGCUGGCGGCAUGCCUUACACAUGCAAGUCGAACGGCAGCACGGGAGCAAUCCUGGUGGCGAGUGGCGAACGGGUGAGUAAUAUAUCCGAACGUGCCCAGUCGCAGGGGAUAACGCAGCGAAAGCUGUGCUAAUACCGCAUACGCUCUCUGGAUGAAAGCGGGGGAUCGCAAGACCUCGCGCGAUUGGAGCGGCCGACAUCAGAUUAGCUAGUUGGGGAGCGAAAGGCCCACCAAGGCGACGAUCUGUAGCUGGGCUGAGAGGACGCGCAGCCAAAAUGGAGCUGAGACACGGUCCAGACUCCGACGGGAGGCAGGAGUGGGUAAUCUUGGAUAAUGGGCGAAAGCCUGAUCCAGCAAGGCCGCGUGCAGGAUGAAGGCCUUCGGGUUGUAAACUGCUUUUGUACGGAUCGAAACGGUGAGCUCUAACACAGUUUGCUAAUGACGGUACCGUAAGAAUAAGCACCGGCUAACUACGUGCCAGCAGCCGCGGUAA
This 500-nucleotide ribosomal RNA is filed under the name uncultured bacterium. RNAcentral's name for it is "partial 16S ribosomal RNA". It matches the Rfam family "Bacterial small subunit ribosomal RNA", at positions 29 to 523 of the family's 1533-position model. The record is from RNAcentral.